This 390-nucleotide ribosomal RNA is filed under the name uncultured bacterium. Its description in RNAcentral is "bacterial SSU rRNA". It matches the Rfam family "Bacterial small subunit ribosomal RNA", at positions 28 to 421 of the family's 1533-position model. The record is from RNAcentral.
GAUGAACGCUAGCGGCAGGCUUAACACAUGCAAGUCGAGGGGUAUUGGUUUUCGGACCAAGAGACCGGCGCACGGGUGCGUAACGCGUAUGCAAUCUACCUUUUGCAGAGGGAUAGCCCCAGAGAAAUUUGGAUUAAUACCUCAUAGUAUAGUACUUUGGCAUCAAGGAACUAUUAAAGUCACAACGGCAAAAGAUGAGCAUGCGUCCCAUUAGCUAGUUGGUAAGGUAACGGCUUACCAAGGCUACGAUGGGUAGGGGUCCUGAGAGGGAGAUCCCCCACACUGGUACUGAGACACGGACCAGACUCCUACGGGAGGCAGCAGUGGGGAAUUUGGACAAUGGGCGCAAGCCUGAUCCAGCAAUGCCGCGUGCAGGAUGAAGGCCUUCGG